Molecule: ribosomal RNA, 430 nt
Filed under: Acidobacteriota bacterium
Lineage: Bacteria; Pseudomonadati; Acidobacteriota
Description: Acidobacteria bacterium partial 16S ribosomal RNA
Rfam family: Bacterial small subunit ribosomal RNA
Source: RNAcentral
UGGGGAAUAUUGGACAAUGGGCGCAAGCCUGAUCCAGCCAUGCCGCGUGUGUGAAGAAGGCCUUUUGGUUGUAAAGCACUUUAAGCGAGGAGGAGGCUACUUGGAUUAAUACUCUAAGAUAGUGGACGUUACUCGCAGAAUAAGCACCGGCUAACUCUGUGCCAGCAGCCGCGGUAAUACAGAGGGUGCGAGCGUUAAUCGGAUUUACUGGGCGUAAAGCGUGCGUAGGCGGCCUCUUAAGUCGGAUGUGAAAUCCCUGAGCUUAACUUAGGAAUUGCAUUCGAUACUGGGAAGCUAGAGUAUGGGAGAGGAUGGUAGAAUUCCAGGUGUAGCGGUGAAAUGCGUAGAGAUCUGGAGGAAUACCGAUGGCGAAGGCAGCCAUCUGGCCUAAUACUGACGCUGAGGUACGAAAGCAUGGGGAGCAAACAGG